RNAcentral lists this ribosomal RNA (565 nucleotides) under uncultured bacterium. Its description in RNAcentral is "bacterial SSU rRNA". It matches the Rfam family "Bacterial small subunit ribosomal RNA", at positions 358 to 916 of the family's 1533-position model. The record is from RNAcentral.
GGAAUUUUGGACAAUGGGGGCAACCCUGAUCCAGCAAUGCCGCGUGUGCGAAGAAGGCCUUCGGGUUGUAAAGCACUUUUGUCGGGGAAGAAAUCUUCUGGGUGAAUAUCCCAGGAGGAUGACGGUACCCGAAGAAUAAGCACCGGCUAACUACGUGCCAGCAGCCGCGGUAAUACGUAGGGUGCAAGCGUUAAUCGGAAUUACUGGGCGUAAAGCGUGCGCAGGUGGUCUGCUAAGACAGUCGUGAAAUCCCCGGGCUUAACCUGGGAACUGCGAUUGUGACUGGCAGGCUAGAGUUCGGCAGAGGGGGGUGGAAUUCCUGGUGUAGCAGUGAAAUGCGUAGAGAUCAGGAGGAACACCGAUGGCGAAGGCAGCCCCCUGGGCUAGAACUGACACUCAUGCACGAAAGCGUGGGGAGCAAACAGGAUUAGAUACCCUGGUAGUCCACGCCCUAAACGAUGUCAAUUAGUUGUUGGUCCUUUACUGGGUCAGUAACGAAGCUAACGCGUGAAAUUGACCGCCUGGGGAGUACGGUCGCAAGAUUAAAACUCAAAUGAAUUGACGG